RNAcentral lists this ribosomal RNA (468 nucleotides) under uncultured bacterium. Its description in RNAcentral is "partial 16S ribosomal RNA". It matches the Rfam family "Bacterial small subunit ribosomal RNA", at positions 28 to 507 of the family's 1533-position model. The record is from RNAcentral.
GACGAACGCUGGCGGCGUGCUUAACACAUGCAAGUCGAACGGAACGGGCGUGCUUUUGUGGGGUGCCCGAGUGGCGAACGGGUGAGUAACACGUGUGUCACCUGCUCUGGACUUUGGGAUAACCUCAGGAAACUGGGGCUAAUACCGGAUAGGAGCUCACGCUGCAUGGUUGGGGAUGGAGAGUUUCGUUGGUUGGGGGUGGACUCGCGGCUUAUGAGCUUGGUGGUGGGUUAGUGGCUUACCAAGGCUUUGACGGGUAGCCGGCCUGAGAGGGUGACCGGCCACAUUGGGACUGAGAAACGGCCCAGACUCCUACGGGAGGAAGCAGUGGGGAAUAUUGCACAAUGGGCGGAAGCCUGAUGCAGCAACGCCGCGUGCGGGAUGACGGCCUUCGGGUUGUAAACCGCUUUCGCCUGUGACGAAGCGUGAGUGACGGUAAUGGGUAAAGAAGCACCGGCUAACUACGUG